AACGAACGCUGGCGGCAUGCCUAACACAUGCAAGUCGAACGAAGUCUUCGGACUUAGUGGCGCACGGGUGCGUAACGCGUGGGAAUCUGCCCUUGGGUGCGGAAUAACUUCUCGAAAGGGAUGCUAAUACCGCAUAAUGUCGUAAGACCAAAGAUUUAUCGCCCAAGGAUGAGCCCGCGUAAGAUUAGCUAGUUGGUGGGGUAAAAGCCUACCAAGGCGACGAUCUUUAGCUGGUCUGAGGGGAUGAUCAGCCACACUGGGACUGAGACACGGCCCAGACUCCUACGGGAGGCAGCAGUGGGGAAUAUUGGACAAUGGGCGAAAGCCUGAUCCAGCAAUGCCGCGUGAGUGAUGAAGGCCCUAGGGUUGUAAAGCUCUUUUACCAGGGAUGAUAAUGACAGUACCUGGAGAAUAAGACUCCGGCUAACUCCGUGCCAGCAGCCGCGGU
RNAcentral lists this ribosomal RNA (448 nucleotides) under uncultured bacterium. RNAcentral describes it as "bacterial SSU rRNA". It matches the Rfam family "Bacterial small subunit ribosomal RNA", at positions 29 to 521 of the family's 1533-position model. The record is from RNAcentral.